GUACACUCCUGCGGGAGGCAGCAGUGGGGAAUUUUGGACAAUGGGCGAAAGCCUGAUCCAGCAAUGCCGCGUGUGUGAAGAAGGCCUUCGGGUUGUAAAGCACUUUUGUCCGGAAAGAAAUCCUUGGCUCUAAUACAGUCGAGGGAUGACGGUACCGGAAGAAUAAGCACCGGCUAACUACGUGCCAGCAGCCGCGGUAAUACGUAGGGUGCGAGCGUUAAUCGGAAUUACUGGGCGUAAAGCGUGCGCAGGCGGUUUGCUAAGACCGAUGUGAAAUCCCCGGGCUCAACCUGGGAACUGCAUUGGUGACUGGCAGGCUAGAGUAUGGCAGAGGGGGGUAGAAUUCCACGUGUAGCAGUGAAAUGCGUAGAGAUGUGGAGGAAUACCGAUGGCGAAGGCAGCCCCCUGGGCCAAUACUGACGCUCAUGCACGAAAGCGUGGGGAGCAAACAGGAUUAGAAACCCUUGUAGUCCCA
RNAcentral lists this ribosomal RNA (475 nucleotides) under uncultured organism. Its description in RNAcentral is "partial 16S ribosomal RNA". It matches the Rfam family "Bacterial small subunit ribosomal RNA", at positions 331 to 797 of the family's 1533-position model. The record is from RNAcentral.